RNAcentral lists this unclassified non-coding RNA (195 nucleotides) under plant metagenome. Its description in RNAcentral is "partial contains small subunit ribosomal RNA, internal transcribed spacer 1, and 5.8S ribosomal RNA". The record is from RNAcentral.
UCUCCGUUGGUGAACCAGCGGAUGGAUCAUUACCGAGUUUACAACUCCCAAACCCCUGUGAACAUACCAUUUGUUGCCUCGGCGGUGCCUGCUUCGGCAGCCCGCCAGAGGACCCAAACCCUUGAUUUUAUACAGUAUCUUCUGAGUAAAUGAUUAAAUAAAUCAAAACUUUCAACAACGGAUCUCUUGGUUCUG